Molecule: ribosomal RNA, 427 nt
Filed under: uncultured bacterium
Lineage: Bacteria
Description: bacterial SSU rRNA
Rfam family: Bacterial small subunit ribosomal RNA
Source: RNAcentral
UGGGGAAUUUUGGACAAUGGGGGCAACCCUGAUCCAGCCAUCCCGCGUGUGCGAUGAAGGCCUUCGGGUUGUAAAGCACUUUUGGCAGGGAAGAAACAGCCUGGGCUAAUAUCCCGGGCGACUGACGGUACCUGCAGAAUAAGCACCGGCUAACUACGUGCCAGCAGCCGCGGUAAUACGUAGGGUGCAAGCGUUAAUCGGAAUUACUGGGCGUAAAGCGUGCGCAGGCGGUUCGGAAAGAAAGGUGUGAAAUCCCAGGGCUUAACCUUGUAACUGCACUUUUAACUACCGGGCUAGAGUACGUCAGAGGGGGGUAGAAUUCCACGUGUAGCAGUGAAAUGCGUAGAGAUGUGGAGGAAUACCGAUGGCGAAGGCAGCCCCCUGGGAUGAUACUGACGCUCAUGCACGAAAGCGUGGGGAGCAAACA